RNAcentral lists this transfer RNA (71 nucleotides) under Aedes aegypti (yellow fever mosquito). It matches the Rfam family "tRNA". From Rfam's summary of the family: Transfer RNA (tRNA) molecules are approximately 80 nucleotides in length. Their secondary structure includes four short double-helical elements and three loops (D, anti-codon, and T loops). Lineage: Eukaryota; Metazoa; Arthropoda; Insecta; Diptera; Culicidae. The record is from Rfam by way of RNAcentral.
GCUCAAUAGCUGAGUUGGUCAAAUCGCUCGCCUAGCAUGCAAGAGUCGUGGGUUCAAAUCUCACAUGAGCA